Molecule: ribosomal RNA, 253 nt
Filed under: uncultured bacterium
Lineage: Bacteria
Description: partial 16S ribosomal RNA
Rfam family: Bacterial small subunit ribosomal RNA
Source: RNAcentral
UACGUAGGUGGCAAGCGUUGUCCGGAUUUACUGGGCGUAAAGAGCGCGCAGGCGGUCGUUCAAGUCGCGUGUGAAAGCCCCCGGCUCAACUGGGGAGGGUCACGCGAUACUGAUCGACUCGAAGGCAGGAGAGGGAAGUGGAAUUCCCGGUGUAGUGGUGAAAUGCGUAGAUAUCGGGAGGAACACCAGUGGCGAAGGCGGCAUCCUGGACCAACACUGACGCUGAGGAGCGAAAGCCAGGGGAGCAAACGGG